AGAGAGUGCAAGCGUUAAUCGGAAUUACUGGGCGUAAAGCGCACGUAGGUGGAUAUUUAAGUCGGAUGUGAAAGCCCUGGGCUCAACCUAGGAAUUGCACUCGAUACUGAAUAUCUAGAGUAUGGUAGAGGGAAGUGGAAUUUCCGGUGUAGCGGUGAAAUGCGUAGAUAUCGGAAAGAACACCAGUGGCGAAGGCGGCUUCCUGGACCAAUACUGACACUGAGGUGCGAAAGCGUGGGGGAGCAAACAGGAUUAGAGACCCUGGUAGUCCACGCCGUCAACGAUGAGAACUAGCUGUUGGGGGGGUUUACCCUUAAGUAGCGAAGCUAACGCGUUAAGUUCUCCGCCUGGGGAGUACGGCCGCAAGGCUA
Molecule: ribosomal RNA, 371 nt
Filed under: uncultured organism
Description: partial 16S ribosomal RNA
Rfam family: Bacterial small subunit ribosomal RNA
Source: RNAcentral